GAUCCUGGCUCAGAUUGAACGCUGGCGGAAUGCUUACACAUGCAAGUCGAACGGUAGAGGGGGCAACCCUUGAGAGUGGCGAACGGGUGAGUAAUAUAUCGGAACGUGCCCGGUCGUGGGGGAUAACGUAGCGAAAGCUACGCUAAUACCGCAUACGAUCUACGGAUGAAANCGGGGGAUCGCAAGACCUCGCGCGAUUGGAGCGGCCGAUAUCAGAUUAGGUAGUUGGUGAGGUAAAGGCUCACCAAGCCGACGAUCUGUAGCUGGUCUGAGAGGACGACCAGCCACACUGGGACUGAGACACGGCCCAGACUCCUACGGGAGGCAGCAGUGGGGAAUUUUGGACAAUGGACGCAAGUCUGAUCCAGCCAUUCCGCGUGCAGGAUGAAGGCCCUCGGGUUGUAAACUGCUUUGUACGGAACGAAAAGGUUUCUAUUAAUACUAGGAGCUCAUGACGGUACCGUAAGAAUAAGCACCGGCUAACUACGUG
This 490-nucleotide ribosomal RNA is filed under the name uncultured bacterium. RNAcentral's name for it is "bacterial SSU rRNA". It matches the Rfam family "Bacterial small subunit ribosomal RNA", at positions 15 to 507 of the family's 1533-position model. The record is from RNAcentral.